UCCACUGUAGUCUAGGUGGCUAGAGUAUACGGCUCUCACCCGUACGACCCGGGUUCGAACCCCGUCGGUGGAU
RNAcentral lists this transfer RNA (73 nucleotides) under Gregarina niphandrodes. It matches the Rfam family "tRNA". Rfam says of the family: Transfer RNA (tRNA) molecules are approximately 80 nucleotides in length. Their secondary structure includes four short double-helical elements and three loops (D, anti-codon, and T loops). The record is from Rfam by way of RNAcentral. Lineage: Eukaryota; Apicomplexa; Conoidasida; Eugregarinorida; Gregarinidae.